GUGCAGAGCGCUACCCAAGACUGAGGUAUGAAAGGGGCUGAAACAGAGACUGGCAAGCAAAGGCGCAGGAGGAAGCCAGGCUGGGAAGAGCCUGGAGCGCCAGUCGUGUCCCAACACCGGGACAACGCUGGAGAUUCUUCAUAAGCAGGUGCGGACGUGCUUAGAGAAGAACGUUCGGAAGGCUUCUUCAGCAUCCGUUGACCCACUGGCCCAAACAGGCUCCAAGGUGCUGGCAUCUCCUAGCUGUGACACACAGAUAUUGCUUUCCUGAGACAGCGUUCUCUAAAAGAAGACUCUCUGGUCACAAGAUGUCACACCUCAGCAAGAAGCCAAACGAACAGGCCAUCUGUCUGCAUCCUCUGCGUGGCAUUGAGAGGGAAUCAUCCAACAGACAAAUCACAUCAAGGGGCAAUCUCAACCCAGAGAAGGUAAGAGAGAGAUUUCAGGCACGCCUUCCACUCAAGCGUGACUUUUCCUCUU
RNAcentral lists this long non-coding RNA (480 nucleotides) under Phascolarctos cinereus (koala). RNAcentral describes it as "lncRNA (ENSPCIG00000028128.2)". The record is from RNAcentral. Lineage: Eukaryota; Metazoa; Chordata; Mammalia; Diprotodontia; Phascolarctidae.